UCGGGAGGGGAUUAGUGGCGAACGGGUGAGUAACACGUGGGCAAUCUGCCCUGCACUCUGGGACAAGCCCUGGAAACGGGGUCUAAUACCGGAUACUGAUCAUCUUGGGCAUCCUUGGUGAUCGAAAGCUCCGGCGGUGCAGGAUGAGCCCGCGGCCUAUCAGCUUGUUGGUGAGGUAAUGGCUCACCAAGGCGACGACGGGUAGCCGGCCUGAGAGGGCGACCGGCCACACUGGGACUGAGACACGGCCCAGACUCCUACGGGAGGCAGCAGUGGGGAAUAUUGCACAAUGGGCGAAAGCCUGAUGCAGCGACGCCGCGUGAGGGAUGACGGCCUUCGGGUUGUAAACCUCUUUCAGCAGGGAAGAAGCGAAAGUGACGGUACCUGCAGAAGAAGCGCCGGCUAACUACGUGCCAGCAGCCGCGGUAAUACGUAGGGCGCGAGCGUUGUCCGGAAUUAUUGGGCGUAAAGAGCUCGUAGGCGGCUUGUCGCGUCGGUUGUGAAAGCCCGGGGCUUAACCCCGGGUCUGCAGUCGAUACGGGCAGGCUAGAGUUCGGUAGGGGAGAUCGGAAUUCCUGGUGUAGCGGUGAAAUGCGCAGAUAUCAGGAGGAACACCGGUGGCGAAGGCGGAUCUCUGGGCCGAUACUGACGCUGAGGAGCGAAAGCGUGGGGAGCGAACAGGAUUAGAUACCCUGGUAGU
Molecule: ribosomal RNA, 700 nt
Filed under: Streptomyces sp.
Lineage: Bacteria; Bacillati; Actinomycetota; Actinomycetes; Kitasatosporales; Streptomycetaceae
Description: bacterial SSU rRNA
Rfam family: Bacterial small subunit ribosomal RNA
Source: RNAcentral